GCUUUAUACAAGCCUAGUGAGACGAUAUUUGGACCACCACCGUACAAAACUAUGAUCAUUGUAUAUGGUGGUCCAAGUGUACAACUAGUCUGCGAUUCAUGGAUCAAUACGGUGGACAUGAGAGCUCAGUAUCUGCGCAGCAGAGGAAUCUUAGUAUGGAAGUUAGACAACAGAGGAACUGCUCGACGUGGACUGAAGUUUGAAGCUUCUCUGAAAUACAAUAUCGGCUAUAUCGAUGCAGAUGAUCAAUUGGUUGGAGCAAAAUGGCUCAUCAGACAAGGUCUAUCAAGAGCUGGAGAGAUUGGUUUAUAUGGAUGGAGCUAUGGUGGCUUUCUGUCAGCAAUGAGCUUGGCCCGGUAUCCAGAUAUCUACCGAUGUGCAAUAUCCGGUGCCCCUGUUACAUCUUGGGACGGGUACGACACCUUCUACACAGAAAAGUACAUGGGAUUACCAACUCGGGAUCCAGAAGUUUACGAGCGAAGCUCGGUGAUGCAUCAUAUAGAGAAGAUGACCGG
This 515-nucleotide unclassified non-coding RNA is filed under the name Hevea brasiliensis (rubber tree). The record is from RNAcentral. Lineage: Eukaryota; Viridiplantae; Streptophyta; Magnoliopsida; Malpighiales; Euphorbiaceae.